This 438-nucleotide long non-coding RNA is filed under the name Helianthus annuus (common sunflower). RNAcentral describes it as "hypothetical non coding rna". Lineage: Eukaryota; Viridiplantae; Streptophyta; Magnoliopsida; Asterales; Asteraceae. The record is from RNAcentral.
UUUCGGUUUCUUUAUUGGGUUUUGAUGAUAGGAUUUAAUGCAAACUUUAUGCCUCGUUAUCAUCUCAUAGUUGUCUAAUUAAAGAUAAUUCAAGGCACCAUUUUCAUCUUUCUAGAACACAAAUCAUCACACCAAUAUUCAUCCAUUUCAAAGCAUAUCUCUUAAAGCAAAUGACACCCCAUAUCAUAUUACACGAAUUCUCAUAUCUAGAAUCUGCAAGAUCACUCUCUAAUUCACGAAUUUGAGCAAGGAUCAAAUCGAGGGCAUGGUACUUGGUGAACUGACAUCUUCUUCAUUUCUUCAUCAAAUCAGGAAAUCAUGUGUGACAAGAUGAGAAUAACGAUACGUUGACGAUGACGUAGACAAAUAAAUUGGAUUUUAUUUUAUUUUUCAUGACUUUGAAUUUUGUAUGAAUUAUUUGAAACUCAUUUGUUAUGU